RNAcentral lists this ribosomal RNA (292 nucleotides) under uncultured bacterium. RNAcentral describes it as "partial 16S ribosomal RNA". The record is from RNAcentral.
GGACUACAAGGGUAUCUAAUCCUGUUCGCUCCCCACGCUUUCGCUCCUCAGCGUCAGAACAGGCCCAGAGAACCGCCUUCGCCACCGGUGUUCCUCCCGAUAUCUGCGCAUUUCACCGCUACACCGGGAAUUCCGUUCUCCCCUACCUGCCUCAAGUCUGCCCGUAUCCACCGCAGACCCACAGUUAAGCCAUGGGCUUUCACGACAGACGCAACAAACCACCUACGAGCUCUUUACGCCCAAUAAUUCCGGACAACGCUUGCGCCCUACGUAUUACCGCGGCUGCUGGCAC